ACAGCCAGGAUCCGUGCAACGCCGGCCACCCGGCGAUGGCGCGCGACGCAGCCUCCCGCGGACGCCCAUGUGACGGCAUCGAGGCCGCGCGGCGACGCCCCCCACCCCCCGGCCAGGGCACGCAUGUGUACCUCUGUCACCUGCCAACAGCAAGUCUUCGGCGAGCUGCGAUGAGUACCUCCCCACUUUUCAUUCUUUGGUUGGAAAUUAUCAAUUUAUCUGCAUAUGACUAAAAAAAUAGUUUUACUUGCAUUGUCAAUUUAUCAUGCUGCAUUAUGUAGGCCUCUUACCAGAUUGAUUGGGAAUUUACUUGUAAAUGAAGUAUUCCUCUUGGUUUAGCAAUAUGUUAGCAUGAUCUUUUUUUGGGAGGUGGUGGGGGCUAUAUAAGCUCUGACCAGUGAUAUAUCAUUAGCAUUUUUUUCUGAAAUUCUGAACAAUGGCCAUUUACUUUUUGUUUGCCGGUUCAUGUAUUCCAUGAAUAUGAUUCACUAUCACUAGUGGACAACCUGUUCCUCUCUCAUGAUGACCACAUCAACUUGUUCAUGGAAUUGUUAUCAACGACCUGAUAGCUCUGAUGAUGUUAGAAGUUUUGGAACCUCAGUGCAGUUGUCCCAAUUUCAGGCCAUCGAAAGUUGAAUUCAAUUGCUCAUUGAGAUGAUGGUGCUUCAAAUCUUGUCGCUGUCUUGUAGGCUUGGCAAUUUGACUGGUAAUGGAUCUUUACAUUCUGCUUGGACAUGGGUUAGGCUGCUGUCAUACAAAACUGCAAAUGGCUGAAUGUUGCUAUCAUGAUACGGUGAUUCAGUGCAAUGGUUCAGAGCAACUAAGAUAGCCUGAAAAGGAAGAGUCUAGUGCUGUUGGUCAGCAGAUUUGUUUGUAGGAAGGUUCUUGCUGGAUAUUGCACUGUCUACUUCUAAAAUACCUCAAAUUCUGAUGACACUUAUAGCUUUGCGAGAGCAGUACCUGAUUGAAGCUCACAACAAAGCUAACUGGCUGUGUUGAAAGCACAAACUGCAUAUAAAGGCUAUUCAACACCAUUUAAUACUUAUGGUAAGAGCCCGAAGGAAGUGAAUAUUAAUGAACCUGGAACAAGCAGUUUGCAGUGUCAACCCAGCAGCUAAUAGAGGCACUACUGGUUCACCAUUCUCCUUGGUCGAGGUAGAGAACUCUAUUGUGUGAUUGUUUUUAUGUUAACCUCCUUGCCUUUUUCUUUUGUCAUCAACACCAUAAAUCACAAGAAUGUAGAAUUGCAUCUGUUUGAUUCUCUGGUUAUACAACCUUUGCUUCUUGCAUAUCUCAGUUAGCAAAAAAAGAAAUGCUGUAUUAUACCUCUCUGUUGAUGUCGGACUUGAAUUCUUAUAAAAGUUUACUUCCUACGGACGUAAAAAAUUAUCUUAGCCGCAUCGUAGGAAGAGAUAUAAAAUAGAAUAUAGUGUACACUUGUUU
This is a long non-coding RNA of Panicum virgatum (switchgrass), 1443 nucleotides long. RefSeq lists it as uncharacterized. The record is from RefSeq and is a predicted model, not a curated record. The transcript is spliced from 5 exons. Lineage: Eukaryota; Viridiplantae; Streptophyta; Magnoliopsida; Poales; Poaceae.